GAUGAACGCUGGCGGCGUGCCUAAUACAUGCAAGUCGAGCGAACGGACGAGAAGCUUGCUUUUCUGAUGUUAGCGGCGGACGGGUGAGUAACACGUGGAUAACCUACCUAUAAGACUGGGAUAACUUCGGGAAACCGGAGCUAAUAUCGGAUAAUAUUUUGAACCGCAUGGUUCAAAAGUGAAAGACGGUCUUGCUGUCACUUAUAGAUGGAUCCGCGCUGCAUUAGCUAGUUGGUAAGGUAACGGCUUACCAAGGCAACGAUGCAUAGCCGACCUGAGAGGGUGAUCGGCCACACUGGAACUGGGACACGGUCCAGACUCCUACGGGAGGCAGCAGUAGGGAAUCUUCCGCAAUGGGCGAAAGCCUGACGGAGCAACGCCGCGUGAGGGAUGAAGGUCUUCGGAUCGUAAAACUCUGUUAUUAGGGAAGAACAUAUGUGUAAGUAACUGUGCACAUCUUGACGGUACCUAAUCAGAAAGCCACGGCUAACUACGUG
This 497-nucleotide ribosomal RNA is filed under the name uncultured bacterium. Its description in RNAcentral is "partial 16S ribosomal RNA". It matches the Rfam family "Bacterial small subunit ribosomal RNA", at positions 28 to 507 of the family's 1533-position model. The record is from RNAcentral.